RNAcentral lists this transfer RNA (71 nucleotides) under Loxodonta africana (African savanna elephant). It matches the Rfam family "tRNA". Rfam says of the family: Transfer RNA (tRNA) molecules are approximately 80 nucleotides in length. Their secondary structure includes four short double-helical elements and three loops (D, anti-codon, and T loops). Further hydrogen bonds mediate the characteristic L-shaped molecular structure. tRNAs have two regions of fundamental functional importance: the anti-codon, which is responsible for specific mRNA codon recognition, and the 3' end, to which the tRNAs corresponding amino acid is attached (by aminoacyl-tRNA synthetases). tRNAs cope with the degeneracy of the genetic code in two manners: having more than one tRNA (with a specific anti-codon) for a particular amino acid; and 'wobble' base-pairing, i.e. permitting non-standard base-pairing at the 3rd anti-codon position. Lineage: Eukaryota; Metazoa; Chordata; Mammalia; Proboscidea; Elephantidae. The record is from Rfam by way of RNAcentral.
GCAUAGGUGGUUCAGUGGUAAAAUUCUUGCCUCACAUGUAGGAGACCUGGGUUCGAUUCCUGAUCAGUGCA